AGCAGUCAGGGCUUCAUGCACAUGAAGCUGUCUCGGACCAAGGAACACAAGUAUGUGCUGGGCCAGAACAGCCCACCCUUCAGCAGCGUCCCUGAAAUCGUGCACCACUAUGCCAGCCGAAAGCUGCCCAUUAAGGGAGCGGAACACAUGUCCCUGCUCUACCCUGUGGCCAUCCGGACUCUGUAGAUGUGAGACCAGGGCAGUAUGAUAGACCUGGACCCAGCCCUUGUCACCUGCACGAGGGCUGCGGUUCUUGCUAAGGACAUGAUGUCAGAAACUUGGCUUCCCCUUGUCCUAGGAUCUAGUAGGCGCUGAAGAUUCCUUAAUUUAUUAUAAAGGGGAGGGAAUCAUGGGCCUUGGAAUAAAGGGGCUGUGUGGAGCUGGGAACAGAGGAAAGCCUGAGGAGGAAAGGAUCUUCCCGCCCCGGUCAGACACUAGGGAGGAAGUGGCGACCUCCCGCACGACCCACCCUCCGCCCCUUCCCUCUUCGGUCCCCCAGCCCCUGUCCCCAGAGUGCCCGCCCGGGCUCCCAGCCAGAAGCUCGGCCAGGCAGAACCGCGGCAGCCGGCGCCGCCCAGAGACUGACGGGAGGGGGCGGGGAGCGAGCCAGACUAUAAAUCGGCGCUGGAGCCGACGCCGGCCGCCUGCGAAAAGCA
RNAcentral lists this long non-coding RNA (656 nucleotides) under Rattus norvegicus (Norway rat). Its description in RNAcentral is "long non-coding RNA NONRATT019636". Lineage: Eukaryota; Metazoa; Chordata; Mammalia; Rodentia; Muridae. The record is from RNAcentral.